AAACUUACCUGGCGCCGAGUUCAGGGUGAUCAGCAAGGCUCCGACCCCAGGUGGAGGCUCAGCAUUGCACUCCGCUGUGUUCCGCUGUGUUGAAGCCUGCGACAGACUCUAAUCGGAUUCCCUCGGGGCCAUAGUUUUUACCAGUGGGGAGUUCUCAGACAUUCCUUU
Molecule: small nuclear RNA, 168 nt
Filed under: Taenia asiatica
Lineage: Eukaryota; Metazoa; Platyhelminthes; Cestoda; Cyclophyllidea; Taeniidae
Description: U1 spliceosomal RNA
Rfam family: U1 spliceosomal RNA
About the family: U1 is a small nuclear RNA (snRNA) component of the spliceosome (involved in pre-mRNA splicing). Its 5' end forms complementary base pairs with the 5' splice junction, thus defining the 5' donor site of an intron. There are significant differences in sequence and secondary structure between metazoan and yeast U1 snRNAs, the latter being much longer (568 nucleotides as compared to 164 nucleotides in human).
Source: Rfam by way of RNAcentral